RNAcentral lists this ribosomal RNA (487 nucleotides) under uncultured Turicibacter sp. RNAcentral describes it as "bacterial SSU rRNA". It matches the Rfam family "Bacterial small subunit ribosomal RNA", at positions 8 to 507 of the family's 1533-position model. The record is from RNAcentral. Lineage: Bacteria; Bacillati; Bacillota; Erysipelotrichia; Erysipelotrichales; Turicibacteraceae.
AGAGUUUGAUCCUGGCUCAGGAUGAACGCUGGCGGCGUGCCUAAUACAUGCAAGUCGAGCGAACCACUUCGGUGGUGAGCGGCGAACGGGUGAGUAACACGUAGGUGAUCUGCCCAUCAGACGGGGACAACGAUUGGAAACGAUCGCUAAUACCGGAUAGGACGAAAGUUUAAAGGUGCUCCUGGCACCGCUGAUGGAUGAGCCUGCGGCGCAUUAGCUAGUUGGUAGGGUAAAGGCCUACCAAGGCGACGAUGCGUAGCCGACCUGAGAGGGUGAACGGCCACACUGGGACUGAGACACGGCCCAGACUCCUACGGGAGGCAGCAGUAGGGAAUCUUCGGCAAUGGGCGAAAGCCUGACCGAGCAACGCCGCGUGAAUGAUGAAGGCCUUCGGGUUGUAAAAUUCUGUUAUAAGGGAAGAACGACUUUAGUAGGAAAUGGCUAAAGUGUGACGGUACCUUAUGAGAAAGCCACGGCUAACUACGUG